Molecule: ribosomal RNA, 233 nt
Filed under: uncultured bacterium
Lineage: Bacteria
Description: partial 16S ribosomal RNA
Rfam family: Bacterial small subunit ribosomal RNA
Source: RNAcentral
GACGAACGCUGGCGGCGUGCUUAACACAUGCAAGUCGAGCGGGGUCCAUCUUGUCGCAAGACAAGGGAAGACCUAGCGGCGAACGGGUGAGUAACACGUGAGCAACCUGCCCCGAAGACUGGGAGUAACACCGGGAAACCGGGUGCUAAUACCGGAUACCCUCAAUGAGUCGCAUGGCUCGAUGAGGAAAUGGNUUCCGCUUCGGGAGGGGCUCGCGGCCUAUCAGCUUGNGG